GUGCAUCUCCAAGUGAAGUUA
This 21-nucleotide small nuclear RNA is filed under the name Arabidopsis thaliana (thale cress). RNAcentral describes it as "snRNA_16515". Lineage: Eukaryota; Viridiplantae; Streptophyta; Magnoliopsida; Brassicales; Brassicaceae. The record is from RNAcentral.